This 746-nucleotide long non-coding RNA is filed under the name Marmota monax (woodchuck). Lineage: Eukaryota; Metazoa; Chordata; Mammalia; Rodentia; Sciuridae. The record is from RNAcentral.
UGCGCCCACCGUCGUGAGGGUCAAUCCGGCCCUGGCUCUCCCUGCCACUGGGCCAGCUGCCUCAGGGCUCCCCGUGUGAGGGCUGCCCAUGACCUUGCUCUGGCCAGUGGGGCCCUGGGGAAGUGCGGUGUGAAGAGGCUGCCCCUUCAAUGGACCUGUUCCCUGGUUUGGGGCAAAGCUGGGUCAGGUAAUGCCUGGAGCCAUCCUUCCAGGCCUUGUUCUCAAUUCCUCCGCAUUUUCAGAACCGCCUACUGUUGGGGAUGCUCUUCCUUCGGCCCAAAGCAUCCCAACCAACAUGGCGGCGUCAGAGACAACUGGACUGUCCGGGCUGGCGACGGCCCAGGCAGUGUGACCCGAAGAGGAAUGGGAAGCUGGGGGAGCCGUGUUGGGGGUCGGUAAGGAUAAGGGGAUUGUGAUAGAAUCUUCUGGGGGUGUGGACAGUGAGUGUCAAGUCUGGGGCCUGGGACAGAGGUCGCGCCCAGAGGCAGAGGUGGAGCCCUGGCCCGAGGCUGUGGAUGAUGUCACAGGAGGGCAGUCCAGGGGAGGUCAGGGAUCCUGGGUCAACAGAGACAAACGCCUCUGCACAUUUUCAGACCCUGCAGUUAGGAGGCCGUGGGCUCAGGGCUGGCUGGAAAGUCAAUCCCACCCCUUCUACCUGCACAGCCCCCGCCCACUCCUCACUGGAGAGGCGCUUUCCUCUCUUCUGUGUCUGUUUCCUUUUUUAAUUAAAAAAAUAAACAAAAAAA